UUGCUCCUGGGUGACGAGCGGCGGACNGGUGANUANUGUCUGGGAAACUGCCUGAUGGAGGGGGAUAACUACUGGAAACGGUAGCUAAUACCGCAUAAUGUCGCAAGACCAAAGAGGGGGACCUUCGGGCCUCUUGCCAUCAGAUGUGCCCAGAUGGGAUUAGCUAGUAGGUGGGGUAAUGGCUCACCUAGGCGACGAUCCCUAGCUGGUCUGAGAGGAUGACCASCCACACUGGAACUGAGACACGGUCCAGACUCCUACGGGAGGCAGCAGUGGGGAAUAUUGCACAAUGGGCGCAAGCCUGAUGCAGCCAUGCCGCGUGUAUGAAGAAGGCUUCGGGUUGUAAAGUACUUUCAGCGAGGAAGAAGCAUUGUGGGUUAAUAACCCAGUGAUUGACGUUACUCGCAAAAAACACCGGCUAACUCCUGGCAMCARCCGCGGUAUACGGAGGGGCAACGUUAUCGAAUACUGGGCGUAA
This 478-nucleotide ribosomal RNA is filed under the name Lelliottia amnigena. RNAcentral describes it as "bacterial SSU rRNA". It matches the Rfam family "Bacterial small subunit ribosomal RNA", at positions 72 to 563 of the family's 1533-position model. Lineage: Bacteria; Pseudomonadati; Pseudomonadota; Gammaproteobacteria; Enterobacterales; Enterobacteriaceae. The record is from RNAcentral.